Arvicola amphibius (Eurasian water vole) is the source of this 107-nucleotide small nuclear RNA. Lineage: Eukaryota; Metazoa; Chordata; Mammalia; Rodentia; Cricetidae. The record is from RefSeq and is a predicted model, not a curated record.
GUGCUGGCUUCAUCAGCACAUACACUAAAAUUGGAAUGAUACAGAGAAGAUCACCAUGGACCCUGCACAGGGAUGACAUGCAAAUUCGUAAAGUAAUCCAAAGUUUU